GUAAUUCUCUGGUUGGGUUUAGUACUUUAUCAAUAAGUAUAUUGCUACUGUUCCCAAAAUGCUUAGAUUAGUGAAGUAUUUUUAUGCUUUUAAAAUAAAAAAUAGAUUUUAUAUGUAUUGACAAACUCCUAAUGUUUCUGUCUGGCUUGUGAUUUAAAUGCUAUUUUAUUCUUAUUUACAGAAGAUUUCUCUUUAACCAGGAGCCAUGUCGACUCCCAGAGGACAGCAGUCUCUGAUGAGGUUGGAGAGAACUCCACUGCGGGAGCUACAGAACGAAAAUCAGCAGCAGCAGAAAAUACAGAGCGUUAAAACUCUGAUUCAGCAGGAGAAGAACACAGAUCAGACUGAGGGUCAGGAUAACCUCAACCAACAAUCAACCUCAACAAAUGAUGAAAACGAAGCCAAGGAAGAUCUGAGAUCUUCGAGUUAUCUCCUUACACACGACUCUGUGGAAGUGCAGUCUGAAAUCUGUCCACUUCCAGCAGAAAACGAAGGAAUUCCAGACUCUCAGUCGCUGGAGAAACUGGGAGAAACUGAGCUGAACGCUCAUGUUAGCAUGUCUAUUGAACAUUUUGUGGUUGAAUCUGGAAGCUCUGAGGUCCAGAACUUGUUGGCCCAAAGUUCUGAGUCAUCGUUCUCUAAACUUAAAGCUGGCACUGAUGCCCAAAGCGAAAACUCUUCUCCACGACACGCUCAAGAGACAUGCAACCAGCAGUCAUCCUCCUCUCCUAGUGAAGAAAACCGUGUGCCGACCCGAAACAACGAAUCGUCUCAACCGCAAACUUCUGUUCCCACGGCUAAUGAAGGUUUUGGGCCAGAAUCUGCAAACACCAGUGCCCAAAAUGAGCCUGCCCAAAACUUUGAAUUAUCUCGUUCCCAAGUUGCUGUUGGAACAGCUACUCAGGAUUUUGGGCCUGAAUUGGGAAGGACCAGUGCCCGAAACACUGAAUCAUCAUCAUCAUCAUCAUCGUACGUGAAUCAUGAGAGUUUUGGGCCUGAAUCUGGAAAAAUUUUGGCCCAAAAUACCAAACUAUCUCAUUCCCAAGCUGAUGUUGCAAUAGCUACAGAGAACUGUGUGCAAGAACCGGCAAAUACCAGUGCGCAAAAUGUUCCGGCCCAAAACUCUGAAUCCUUUAAAGUCCUGAGCGCUGAGCUGAGUUUGCAGGUCCCUCAGGCUGCUGUGGAGCUGGAGGCCAGCGGGGUUCGGGACAGUGCUCUGGGUCUGAGUGGAGUCCACUCUGGUUCUGAAGUGCUUCGGGCCGAGAGUGUUCAGGAGUGUCUCUGUGAUGCUGUUCCUCUACACAGUCAGCUGUGGAGCGCUCUGACCCUGCAAGACCCGUCAACUCCCAGAAACAAAGCUCUCAACAGCAGCGCCCUGCAGGUAAGAGCUGAGGAUAAGAACUCAGAUCUAUAUCAGAAUUU
Molecule: long non-coding RNA, 1422 nt
Filed under: Astyanax mexicanus (Mexican tetra)
Lineage: Eukaryota; Metazoa; Chordata; Actinopteri; Characiformes; Acestrorhamphidae
Description: lncRNA (ENSAMXG00005011129.1)
Source: RNAcentral